Molecule: non-coding RNA, 31 nt
Filed under: Homo sapiens (human)
Lineage: Eukaryota; Metazoa; Chordata; Mammalia; Primates; Hominidae
Source: RNAcentral
UAAAACCUCUAAUGUGCAAAACCAAGACCAA